This 373-nucleotide ribosomal RNA is filed under the name uncultured eukaryote. RNAcentral's name for it is "partial 18S ribosomal RNA". It matches the Rfam family "Eukaryotic small subunit ribosomal RNA", at positions 592 to 975 of the family's 1831-position model. The record is from RNAcentral.
UAAUAGUGUAUAUUAAAGUUGUUGCAGUUAAAAAGCUCGUAGUUGAAUGUUGGUGUCGAACGAGCGGUCAGCUUCGGCUGUACUGCUCUCUCGACUCCUUCCUUCUGUGGACUACGUCGCACUUUACUGUGUGGCGCUAGGACGCAGAUCGUUUACUGUGAAAAAAUUAGAGUGUUCAAAGCAGGCCGUACGCUUGAAUACAUUAGCAUGGAAUAAUGGAAUAGGACGUCGGGCUUAUUUUGUUGGUUCUAGGACCGUCGUAAUGAUUAAUAGGGACAGUUGGGGCCGUUUAUAUUCCGUAGUCAGAGGUGAAAUUCUUGGAUUUACGGAAGAUAAACUACUGCGAAAGCAUUCGGCAAGGAUGUUUNCGUUA